GCGGCGUGCUUAACACAUGCAAGUCGAACAAGGAUAACCGACUGUGGGGAUUAGUGGCGAACGGGUGAGUAACACGUGGGCAAUCUGCCCUGCACUCUGGGACAAGCCCUGGAAACGGGGUCUAAUACCGGAUACGAGUUUCACAGGCAUCUGUGAUUCUGGAAAGCUCCGGCGGUGCAGGAUGAGCCCGCGGCCUAUCAGCUUGUUGGUGAGGUAACGGCUCACCAAGGCGACGACGGGUAGCCGGCCUGAGAGGGCGACCGGCCACACUGGGACUGAGACACGGCCCAGACUCCUACGGGAGGCAGCAGUGGGGAAUAUUGCACAAUGGGCGAAAGCCUGAUGCAGCGACGCCGCGUGAGGGAUGACGGCCUUCGGGUUGUAAACCUCUUUCAGCAGGGAAGAAGCGAGAGUGACGGUACCUGCAGAAGAAGCGCCGGCUAACUACGUGCCAGCAGCCGCGGUAAUACGUAGGGCGCAAGCGUUGUCCGGAAUUAUUGGGCGUAAAGAGCUCGUACGCGGCUUGUCGCGUCGGUUGUGAAAGCCCGGGGCUUAACCCCGGGUCUGCAGUCGAUACGGGCAGGCUAGAGUUCGGUAGGGGAGAUCGGAAUUCCUGGUGUAGCGGUGAAAUGCGCAGAUAUCAGGAGGAACACCGGUGGCGAAGGCGGAUCUCUGGGCCGAUACUGACGCUGAAGAGCGAAAGCGUGGGGAGCGAACAGGAUAGAUACCCUGGUAGUCCACGCCGUAAACGGUGGGCACUAGGUGUGGGUGACAUUCCACGUCGUCCGUGCCGCAGCUAACGCAUUAAGUGCCCCGCCUGUGGAGUACGGCCGCAAGGCUACAACUCAAAGGAAUUGACGGGGGCCCGCACAAGCGGCGGAGCAUGUGGCUUAAUUCGACGCAACGCGAAGAACCUUACCAAGGCUUGACAUACACCGGAAAGCAUUAGAGAUAGUGCCCCCCUUGUGGUCGGUGUACAGGUGGUGCAUGGCUGUCGUCAGCUCGUGUCGUGAGAUGUUGGGUUAAGUCCCGCAACGAGCGCAACCCUUGUCCCGUGUUGCCAGCAGGCCCUUGUGGUGCUGGGGACUCACGGGAGACCGCCGGGGUCAACUCGGAGGAAGGUGGGGACGACGUCAAGUCAUCAUGCCCCUUAUGUCUUGGGCUGCACACGUGCUACAAUGGCCGGUACAAUGAGCUGCGAUACCGCGAGGUGGAGCGAAUCUCAAAAAGCCGGUCUCAGUUCGGAUUGGGGUCUGCAACUCGACCCCAUGAAGUCGGAGUCGCUAGUAAUCGCAGAUCAGCAUUGCUGCGGUGAAUACGUUCCCGGGCCUUGUACACACCGCCCGUCACGUCACGAAAGUCGGUAACACCCGAAGCCGGUGG
RNAcentral lists this ribosomal RNA (1383 nucleotides) under Streptomyces sp. RNAcentral's name for it is "bacterial SSU rRNA". It matches the Rfam family "Bacterial small subunit ribosomal RNA". The record is from RNAcentral. Lineage: Bacteria; Bacillati; Actinomycetota; Actinomycetes; Kitasatosporales; Streptomycetaceae.